This 318-nucleotide ribosomal RNA is filed under the name uncultured eukaryote. Its description in RNAcentral is "partial 18S ribosomal RNA". It matches the Rfam family "Eukaryotic small subunit ribosomal RNA", at positions 1470 to 1796 of the family's 1831-position model. The record is from RNAcentral.
CCCUUAGAUGUCCUGGGCCGCACGCGUGCUACACUGACGCCUACAGCGAGUACUUCCCAGCCCCGAGAGGUGGCUGGUAAUCAGCAAUAGGCGUCGUGAUGGGGAUAGAUCUUUGGAAUUAUGGAUCUUGAACGAGGAAUGCCUAGUAAGCGCAGGUCAUUAGCCUGCGCUGAUUAAGUCCCUGCCCUUGUACACACCGCCCGUCGCUCCUACCGAUUUCGAGUGGUCCGGUGAAUCUUUCGGACUGCGCGCGGCCUCGUGCCGUGUCGCGGAAAGUCAGGUAAACCUUAUCACUUAGAGGAAGGAGAAGUCGUAACA